GUCUCAGCUUGGUUUGAGCAUCUCCCUGGUUGGUGUCCUGUGUUUUUGGCUGAUUUCUGUAUCCCUUUGUGUCACUGUAAUGGUGCUUGAGGAUACUGGAGGAGCUGCCCUGUGGUAUGGCACACCUGCAAAGUGAAAACUUGAUAAGGAUGCUGAUUUUUGUAGGAUGAUAAUGAACAGCUGGAGCACCAUGGAAGAGAGCACUGCUACACCCCUGAUGCAGCCCAGGAAACCAUUAACCUCCUUUGUGGCACGGGCACUUUGUUCGCUUGGGUUUAACUUGGUGUCUACCAGGAUCCUCAGGUUCUUCCAUGCAGAGCUGCUUUCCAGCUGGGUGCCCCCAGCAUGUGCUGGUGUUCAGCACUCAGUGGGAGAGCCUCACCACCUGUCUGUCCUCGUAGAUAAAGGGAGCACCUAUUUCAACCAAAUUAAAUGAGAUAGAUGUAUUUGCCAUCCUAGAAGGGAGUAACUAGGAAAGAUCAUGCCAGUGCCUCUAAUCAAAUGGUUAAGUUUUUCAAAUGAAUCCAUAUUAUCUGUGUGGUUUUUUUUAAUCGUACUUAUACUUUGGUUUGAAUGUGUGUUGAUUAGUUAGUUGUCAUCUUAGAGAAACAAGAAGUGCUUAUAUUUACCCAGAUAUAUUAUGCUACUCAUUAUUCAGCACUGAUUGGUUUGAUGGGAAAAUAUACAUUACUUCAGCAGAUAAUCUGCUUAGUCUUAUUCAUAGUGUCAAUUAUAUACUCAAAUAACUAUUGCAAUUUCAAUUCUUAUGGAGUUUAUUAACAGUUGUUUAUCUGUGCAGUGAUUACAUAGUUCAUAUUUCCUUCUCCCCCUCCCCUCCAAAUUAUGUCUGCUCUGAAAGUGCUAAACAUAUGGCUGUAGUCAUGCCCUGGGGGUAAAUGCAGCCUGUAGCCACAGCCCUUUCCACAAGGCAGCUCUCCUCAACAGUAGGAUGACAAAUCCUCAAGAAUUCCUUUAGGCUUUGCAGGGAUGGAUGGAUGUCACUGCUUCAGAAGAGAAUGCCCUUUUCUCAGUCACAGCAGGUCCACUGCUCCCUUCUUUGCCAUUUGUUGUUGGAGAUGCUAGGACAUGUAGGUGAGAUUGUCUUUGUGUCCAUUAAACUUCUUGUCCAGAUAAGGAACAGGAAUAAGCAUCUGUGUCUGAGAUAUGCAUUCAUGUUGGGAGCUGUUCAUUUUUAUGAGCUCCAAGCAUUAAUGAAGACCACAGAAGGUGCCCAACAUCUCACUAAGAUCGAUCCCAAAGAAAGACAAAGUUAAGCCUUUCAAUAUUUUUCUUUACCUUCCAGUUUCUGUAUUAUUAUCCCAUGUAUACAGUUGCCAACUAUUGUGAAAUUGAAGAUAACAUGCAGAUUUUCACCCAUUGCAGCUCUGUGAUCUUGAUUUGAUUCUCUCUUACUUCUUGAUAUGGCCCCAACUGUGUGAUCCCCGUCAUGCUGCCUGCUUUGGAUAGCUUUUCUUACUCACCUCAGCAUUUGCUCCUGUAGGUAGGAGCAAAAAAAAGGAAGGCCUCUGGAGCAGAGUGUAGAGGGGAAACAAUGACUCCUUUGGGUUUUGUCUAUCUUAGCAGCUUCUUAGAACAGUGAACAUCAUUCAUGUUCCAUCCUGUGCACUGGUUAUUUGACUGCAGGUAGGUUUUAAUGCACAUGGAUGUUAUUUUAAAAAUCUCUUACAUGAAAAGAAGACA
Molecule: long non-coding RNA, 1701 nt
Organism: Anas platyrhynchos (mallard)
Lineage: Eukaryota; Metazoa; Chordata; Aves; Anseriformes; Anatidae
Source: RefSeq, a predicted model, not a curated record